GCCAACGACCAUACCACGUAGGAACUACUGGUUCUCGUUCGAUCACCAAAGUCAAGCUACGUUGGGCACGGUUAGUACUUGGAUGGGUGACCGCUUGGGAACACCGUGUGUUGUUGGUUUCU
RNAcentral lists this ribosomal RNA (122 nucleotides) under Apis florea (little honeybee). The record is from RNAcentral. Lineage: Eukaryota; Metazoa; Arthropoda; Insecta; Hymenoptera; Apidae.